AUAUUUUUCUAUAUAUUUUUUCUAUAUAUUUUUCUAUAUAUUUUUUUUGUAGAUAUUUUUUCUAUAUAUUUUUCUAUAUAUUUUUUCUAUAUAUUUUACUAUACAUUUUUUUCUAUAUAUUUUUCUAUAUAUUUUUUCUAUAUAUUUUACUAUACAUUUUUUCUAUAUAUCUUUCUAUAUAUUUUUCUAUAUUUUUUCUAUAUAUUUUACUAUACAUUUUUUCUAUAUAUUUUUCUAUAUAUUUUUUCUAUAUAUUUUUCUAUAUAUUUUUUCUUUCUAUAUAUUUUUCUAUAUAUUUUUUCUAUAUAUUUUUCUAUAUAUUUUUUCUAUAUAUUUUACUAUAUAUUUUUUCUAUAUAUUUUUCUAUAUAUUUUUUCUAUAUAUUUUUCUAUAUAUUUUUUCUAUAUAUUUUACUAUACAUUUAGUCUCUGCCGUUUCAUUAUUUUCCUCCGAUUCACAAGAGGCUGAAUGUAUCCCACAUGAGAAGAGAUCCGAGUCAGCGAAACAGCGCCCCUCUGUCUCUCUACGUGUUGGCUCUAUCUAUCUGCUGCUGUCUGGUCAGAAGGAGGAUGACAUUGUUGCCGCCCGUAGUGUUGAAGGCAAAGGGCAGACAGUGGAGGUCGGUGCCGUUCAAAGAUGAGGGAGGACGGUUAUUUAUUCAUGAGCAUGACCUUAUUUAUAUUACAGCAUACUGGAUGAUUCACAUUCGUCCAGUUCAAUGUAACAGUGACAGGUUUAGGUUUCUGUCAUUCAUAUUCAC
Molecule: long non-coding RNA, 760 nt
Organism: Oncorhynchus tshawytscha (Chinook salmon)
Lineage: Eukaryota; Metazoa; Chordata; Actinopteri; Salmoniformes; Salmonidae
Source: Ensembl